RNAcentral lists this ribosomal RNA (253 nucleotides) under uncultured bacterium. RNAcentral's name for it is "partial 16S ribosomal RNA". It matches the Rfam family "Bacterial small subunit ribosomal RNA", at positions 524 to 776 of the family's 1533-position model. The record is from RNAcentral.
UACGAAGGGGGCGAGCGUUGUUCGGAUUUACUGGGCGUAAAGCGCGUGCAGGCGGCGCAUUAUGUCAGGUGUGAAAGCCCCGGGCUUAACCUGGGAACUGCGUUUGAUACGGAUGGGCUAGAGUUCGGGAGAGGAGAGUGGAAUUCCCAGUGUAGAGGUGAAAUGCGUAGAUAUUGGGAAGAACACCAGUGGCGAAGGCGGCUCUCUGGACCGAGACUGACGCUGAGGCGCGAAAGCGUGGGGAGCAAACAGG